UGGUGUUUGUUGUUGUUGACUCAUAUUGUCGGUUAUGGAAAGCCAAUGAAAAUAUGGGGUAUUGGAAAUACAUAAAGAAUGUGUUUGGAGAGAUAGAAGGGUAGUUAAUUUUAUUUUCCAAUUUCCUUUUUUAAUUAAUAAUUUGAUACGGUUUAAAAACCGAAAAUUAUUUUAUUAUUUACUAUUAUUUUUGUAAUUCAUUUUAUUAUAUGUUAUUGUUGUAAAUUUACAACUUAAGAAA
This 241-nucleotide long non-coding RNA is filed under the name Lathyrus oleraceus (garden pea). RNAcentral describes it as "Pisum sativum (pea) long non-coding RNA (PSAT_LNC022646)". The record is from RNAcentral. Lineage: Eukaryota; Viridiplantae; Streptophyta; Magnoliopsida; Fabales; Fabaceae.